RNAcentral lists this ribosomal RNA (499 nucleotides) under uncultured bacterium. RNAcentral describes it as "bacterial SSU rRNA". It matches the Rfam family "Bacterial small subunit ribosomal RNA", at positions 28 to 507 of the family's 1533-position model. The record is from RNAcentral.
GGCUAACGCUGGCGGCGUGUCUUAGCCAUGCAAGUCGAGCGGACUUAUGGGGUAACUUAUAAGUCAGCGGCGGACGGCGGAGUAACACGUAGCUAACCUACCCUCUGGACGGGGAUAACCUACCGAAAGGUGGGCUAAUACCCGAUGUAGUCAUCCUGUAUAGGGGUGAUGAAAGGUGGGCUUCUGUUUACAAGCUCAAUGCUGGAGGAGGGGGCUGCGGCCUAUCAGGUAGUUGGUAGGGUAAUAGCCUACCAAGCCGAUGACGGGUAGCCGGCCUGAGAGGGUGACCGGCCCGAGGGGCACUGAGAUACGGGUCCCACUCCUACGGGAGGCAGCAGGCUAGAAAUUUGGGCAAUGGGGGAAACCCUGACCCAGUGACGCCGCGUGCAGGAAGGAGCCCUUCGGGGUGUAAACUGCUGUCGUGUAGGGAGAAGGGUACUAAGGUGAACAAUCUUAGUACUUGACGGUACUACAGGAGGAAGCCCAGGCUAACCUCGUG